Molecule: ribosomal RNA, 405 nt
Filed under: bacterium enrichment culture clone ALO1_GLFRUDD03HCB73
Lineage: Bacteria
Description: bacterial SSU rRNA
Rfam family: Bacterial small subunit ribosomal RNA
Source: RNAcentral
GAGUUUGAUCUUGGCUCAGAUUGAACGCUGGCGGCAUGCCUUACACAUGCAAGUCGAACGGCAGCACGGGAGCUUGCUCCUGGUGGCGAGUGGCGAACGGGUGAGUAAUGCAUCGGAACGUAUCCUGGAGUGGGGGAUAACGUAGCGAAAGUUACGCUAAUACCGCAUAUUCUGUGAGCAGGAAAGCGGGGGACCUUCGGGCCUCGCGCUCUUGGAGCGGCCGAUGUCGGAUUAGCUAGUUGGUGAGGUAAAGGCUCACCAAGGCGACGAUCCGUAGCAGGUCUGAGAGGAUGAUCUGCCACACUGGAACUGGGACACGGUCCAGACUCCUACGGGAGGCAGCAGUGGGAAUUUGGACAAUGGGGCAACCCUGAUCCAGCCAUGCCGCGUGAGUGAAGAAGGCCU